UGCAAGUCGAACGGGAUCCAUCAGGCUUUGCUUGGUGGUGAGAGUGGCGAACGGGUGAGUAAUGCGUGACCGACCUGCCCCAUACACCGGAAUAGCUCCUGGAAACGGGUGGUAAUGCCGGAUGCUCCGACUCCUCGCAUGGGGUGUCGGGAAAGAUUUCAUCGGUAUGGGAUGGGGUCGCGUCCUAUCAGGUAGUCGGCGGGGUAACGGCCCACCGAGCCUACGACGGGUAGCCGGCCUGAGAGGGCGACCGGCCACAUUGGGACUGAGAUACGGCCCAGACUCCUACGGGAGGCAGCAGUGGGGAAUAUUGCACAAUGGGCGCAAGCCUGAUGCAGCGACGCCGCGUGCGGGAUGACGGCCUUCGGGUUGUAAACCGCUUUUGAUCGGGAGCAAGCCUUCGGGUGAGUGUACCUUUCGAAUAAGCACCGGCUAACUACGUGCCAGCAGCCGCGGUAAUACGUAGGGUGCAAGCGUUAUCCGGAAUUAUUGGGCGUAAAGGGCUCGUAGGCGGUUCGUCGCGUCCGGUGUGAAAGUCCAUCGCUUAACGGUGGAUCUGCGCCGGGUACGGGCGGGCUGGAGUGCGGUAGGGGAGACUGGAAUUCCCGGUGUAACGGUGGAAUGUGUAGAUAUCGGGAAGAACACCAAUGGCGAAGGCAGGUCUCUGGGCCGUUACUGACGCUGAGGAGCGAAAGCGUGGGGAGCGAACAGGAUUAGAUACCCUGGUAGUCCACGCCGUAAACGGUGGAUGCUGGAUGUGGGGCCCGUUCCACGGGUUCCGUGUCGGAGCUAACGCGUUAAGCAUCCCGCCUGGGGAGUACGGCCGCAAGGCUAAAACUCAAAGAAAUUGACGGGGGCCCGCACAAGCGGCGGAGCAUGCGGAUUAAUUCGAUGCAACGCGAAGAACCUUACCUGGGCUUGACAUGUUCCCGACAGCCGUAGAGAUAUGGCCUCCCUUCGGGGCGGGUUCACAGGUGGUGCAUGGUCGUCGUCAGCUCGUGUCGUGAGAUGUUGGGUUAAGUCCCGCAACGAGCGCAACCCUCGCCCUGUGUUGCCAGCACGUCAUGGUGGGAACUCACGGGGGACCGCCGGGGUCAACUCGGAGGAAGGUGGGGAUGACGUCAGAUCAUCAUGCCCCUUACGUCCAGGGCUUCACGCAUGCUACAAUGGCCGGUACAACGGGAUGCGACACGGCGACGUGGAGCGGAUCCCUGAAAACCGGUCUCAGUUCGGAUUGGAGUCUGCAACCCGACUCCAUGAAGGCGGAGUCGCUAGUAAUCGCGGAUCAGCAACGCCGCGGUGAAUGCGUUCCCGGGCCUUGUACACACCGCCCGUCAAGUCAUGAAAGUGGGUAGCACCCGAAGCCGGUGGCCUAACCCUUUGUGGAUGGAGCC
This 1394-nucleotide ribosomal RNA is filed under the name Bifidobacterium pseudocatenulatum. RNAcentral describes it as "bacterial SSU rRNA". It matches the Rfam family "Bacterial small subunit ribosomal RNA". The record is from RNAcentral. Lineage: Bacteria; Bacillati; Actinomycetota; Actinomycetes; Bifidobacteriales; Bifidobacteriaceae.